CCUACGGGAGGCAGCAGUGGGGAAUAUUGGACAAUGGGGGCAACCCUGAUCCAGCGAUGCCGCGUGAGUGAUGAAGGCCUUAGGGUUGUAAAACUCUUUCAGAUGGGAAGAUAAUGACGGUACCAUCAGAAGAAGCUCCGGCUAACUCCGUGCCAGCAGCCGCGGUAAUACGGAGGGAGCUAGCGUUGUUCGGAAUUACUGGGCGUAAAGCGCGCGUAGGCGGCUUGGCAAGUUGGGGGUGAAAUCCCGGGGCUUAACCUCGGAACUGCCUCCAAAACUGCUAAGCUAGAAUCCUGGAGAGGUGAGUGGAAUUCCUAGUGUAGAGGUGAAAUUCGUAGAUAUUAGGAAGAACACCAGUGGCGAAGGCGACUCACUGGACAGGUAUUGACGCUGAGGUGCGAAAGCGUGGGGAGCGAACAGGAUUAGAUACCCUUGUAGUC
This 440-nucleotide ribosomal RNA is filed under the name uncultured bacterium. Its description in RNAcentral is "bacterial SSU rRNA". It matches the Rfam family "Bacterial small subunit ribosomal RNA", at positions 338 to 795 of the family's 1533-position model. The record is from RNAcentral.